RNAcentral lists this long non-coding RNA (1388 nucleotides) under Phasianus colchicus (ring-necked pheasant). RNAcentral's name for it is "lncRNA (ENSPCLG00000013955.1)". Lineage: Eukaryota; Metazoa; Chordata; Aves; Galliformes; Phasianidae. The record is from RNAcentral.
AUCAGAGCAUUUUGGGGUGGAAAUGGGAGCUUUUGGGGGGAAAUGAGAGCAUUUGGGGGGAAAUCAGAGCAUUUGGGGGGAAAUCAGGGCCUUUUGGGGGGAAAUUGUGGGAAAUUGGGCAAAGGAGUGAAACUUUUUGGGGAAAAAAGAGGAAAUCAGGAGCCGUUGGUGGGAUUUUUAUUUUCUUUUUUGGUGUAUUUUCUACAGAAAUGUACAAAAAUGGGAAUAAAGGAGAAAAAUGGGAACCUGGGGGGCACUGGGGUCAUUUGGGGUCAUUUGGGGUCACGUGGGGUCACAUGGGGUCACAUGGGGUCGUUUGGGGUUACAUUGGAAUCACUUGGGGUCACUUGGGGUCGUUUGGGGUCACAUGGGGUCAUUUGGGGUCACUUGGGGUUAUAUGGGGUCAUUUUGAGGUCAUCUUGAGGUCAUCUUGAGGUCACACUGGGGUCACAUUGGGGUCACACUUUGGGGUCACAGAUUGGGGUCACUUUGGGUCACGCAUUGGGGUCACAUUGGGGUCACACUGGGGUCACACAGGGGUCACUUCAGGUCACCCUUUGGGGUCACACAUUGGGGUCACACAGGGGUCACACAGGGGUCACACAGGGGUCACACACAGGGGUCACUUCAGGUCACAUCGGGGUCACCCAUUGGGGUCAACAUUGGGGUCACAGAUUGGGGUCACACCGGGGUCAACAUAGGGGUCACCCAUUGGGGUCACUUCAGGUCACAUUGGGGUCAACAUCGGGGUCACCCCUUGGGGUCACACUGGGGUCACACUGGGGUCACACUGGGGUCACACACAGGGGUCACUUCAGGUCACAUCGGGGUCACCCAUUGGGGUCCCAUUGGGGUCCUAUUGGGGUCAACUUUGGGGUCACGCAUUGGGGUCACACUUUGGGAUCACACUGGGGUCACACUGGGGUCACUUCAGGUCACAUCGGGGUCACCCAUUGGGGUCCCAUUUCGGUCCCAUUGGGGUCAACAUUGGGGUCACCCAUUGGGGUCCUAUUGGGGUCACAUUGGGGUCCUAUUGGGGUCACCCUUUGGGGUCACACAGGGGUCACACUGGGGUCACACAGGGGUCACACAGGGGUCACACACAGGGGUCACUUCAGGUCACAUCGGGGUCACCCAUUGGGGUCCCAUUGGGGUCACACUGGGGUCAACAUUGGGGUCCCAUUGGGGUCACACUGAGGUCAACAUUGGGGUCAACAUUGGGGUCAACAUUGGGGUCACACUUUGGGGUCCCAUUGGGGUCCUAUUGGGGUCAACUUUGGGGUCACCCAUUGGGGUCCUAUUGGGGUCACAUUGGGGUCCUAUUGGGGUCACCCUUUGGGGUCACACUGGGGUCACACAGGGGUCACACAGGGGUCACGCAGGGGUCA